This 432-nucleotide ribosomal RNA is filed under the name uncultured bacterium. RNAcentral's name for it is "bacterial SSU rRNA". It matches the Rfam family "Bacterial small subunit ribosomal RNA", at positions 1046 to 1479 of the family's 1533-position model. The record is from RNAcentral.
CGGCUGUCGUCAGCUCGUGUCGUGAGAUGUUGGGUUAAGUCCCGCAACGAGCGCAACCCUUGUCAUUAAUUGCCAUCAUUUAGUUGGGCACUUUAAUGAGACUGCCGGUGACAAACCGGAGGAAGGUGGGGAUGACGUCAAGUCCUCAUGGCCCUUAUGGGUAGGGCUUCACACGUCAUACAAUGGUCGGUACAGAGGGUUGCCAAGCCGCGAGGUGGAGCCAAUCCCAGAAAGCCGAUCGUAGUCCGGAUCGCAGUCUGCAACUCGACUGCGUGAAGUCGGAAUCGCUAGUAAUCGCGGAUCAGCAUGUCGCGGUGAAUACGUUCCCGGGUCUUGUACGCACCGCCCGUCACACCAUGGGAGUGGGUUCUACCAGAAGUAGUUAGCCUAACCGUAAGGAGGGCGAUUACCACGGUAGGAUUCAUGACUGGG